This 292-nucleotide ribosomal RNA is filed under the name uncultured bacterium. RNAcentral describes it as "partial 16S ribosomal RNA". The record is from RNAcentral.
GGACUACCAGGGUAUCUAAUCCUGUUUGCUCCCCACGCUUUCGUGUCUCAGCGUCAGUAUUCGUCCAGUUGGCCGCCUUCGCCACCGGUGUUCCUCUCGAUAUCUACGAAUUUCACCUCUACACCGAGAAUUCCACCAACCUCUCCGAUACUCAAGUCGCGCAGUUUUGGGUGCACUUCCCAGGUUAAGCCUGGGGCUUUCACAUCCAACUUACUCGACCGCCUACACACGCUUUACGCCCAGUAAUUCCGAACAACGUUUGCACCCUCUGUCUUACCGCGGCUGCUGGCAC